AAUGCUGACAUAAGUAACGAUAAAGCGGGUGAAAAGCCCGCUCGCCGGAAGACCAAGGGUUCCUGUCCAACGUUAAUCGGGGCAGGGUGAGUCGACCCCUAAGGCGAGGCCGAAAGGCGUAGUCGAUGGGAAACAGGUUAAUAUUCCUGUACUUGGUGUUACUGCGAAGGGGGGACGGAGAAGGCUAUGUUAGCCGGGCGACGGUUGUCCCGGUUUAAGCAUGUAGGCUGGUUAUCCAGGCAAAUCCGGAUAAUCAAGGCUGAGGUGUGAUGACGAGGCACUACGGUGCUGAAGUAACAAAUGCCCUGCUUCCAGGAAAAGCCUCUAAGCAUCAGGUAACAUCAAAUCGUACCCCAAACCGACACAGGUGGUCAGGUAGAGAAUACCAAGGCGCUUGAGAGAACUCGGGUGAAGGAACUAGGCAAAAUGGUGCCGUAACUUCGGGAGAAGGCACGCUGGUGUGUAGGUGAAGUCCCUGCGGAUGGAGCUGAGACCAGUCGAAGAUACCAGCUGGCUGCAACUGUUUAUUAAAAACACAGCACUGUGCAAACACGAAAGUGGACGUAUACGGUGUGACGCCUGCCCGGUGCCGGAAGGUUAAUUGAUGGGGUUAUCCGUAAGGAGAAGCUCUUGAUCGAAGCCCCGGUAAACGGCGGCCGUAACUAUAACGGUCCUAAGGUAGCGAAAUUCCUUGUCGGGUAAGUUCCGACCUGCACGAAUGGCGUAAUGAUGGCCAGGCUGUCUCCACCCGAGACUCAGUGAAAUUGAACUCGCUGUGAAGAUGCAGUGUACCCGCGGCAAGACGGAAAGACCCCGUGAACCUUUACUAUAGCUUGACACUGAACAUUGAGCCUUGAUGUGUAGGAUAGGUGGGAGGCUUUGAAGCGUGGACGCCAGUCUGCGUGGAGCCAACCUUGAAAUACCACCCUUUAAUGUUUGAUGUUCUAACGUUGGCCCCUUACCGGGGUUGCGGACAGUGUCUGGUGGGUAGUUUGACUGGGGCGGUCUCCUCCCAAAGCGUAACGGAGGAGCACGAAGGUUAGCUAAUCCUGGUCGGACAUCAGGAGGUUAGUGCAAUGGCAUAAGCUAGCUUGACUGCGAGCGUGACGGCGCGAGCAGGUGCGAAAGCAGGUCAUAGUGAUCCGGUGGUUCUGAAUGGAAGGGCCAUCGCUCAACGGAUAAAAGGUACUCCGGGGAUAACAGGCUGAUACCGCCCAAGAGUUCAUAUCGACGGCGGUGUUUGGCACCUCGAUGUCGGCUCAUCACAUCCUGGGGCUGAAGUAGGUCCCAAGGGUAUGGCUGUUCGCCAUUUAAAGUGGUACGCGAGCUGGGUUUAGAACGUCGUGAGACAGUUCGGUCCCUAUCUGCCGUGGGCGCUGGAGAAUUGAGGGGGGCUGCUCCUAGUACGAGAGGACCGGAGUGGACGCAUCACUGGUGUUCGGGUUGUCAUGCCAAUGGCACUGCCCGGUAGCUAAAUGCGGAAGAGAUAAGUGCUGAAAGCAUCUAAGCACGAAACUUGCCCCG
RNAcentral lists this ribosomal RNA (1524 nucleotides) under Klebsiella quasipneumoniae. Its description in RNAcentral is "partial 23S ribosomal RNA". It matches the Rfam family "Bacterial large subunit ribosomal RNA", at positions 1293 to 2801 of the family's 2925-position model. The record is from RNAcentral. Lineage: Bacteria; Pseudomonadati; Pseudomonadota; Gammaproteobacteria; Enterobacterales; Enterobacteriaceae.